Molecule: ribosomal RNA, 253 nt
Filed under: uncultured bacterium
Lineage: Bacteria
Description: partial 16S ribosomal RNA
Rfam family: Bacterial small subunit ribosomal RNA
Source: RNAcentral
UACGGAGGGGACUAGCGUUGUUCGGAAUUAUUGGGCGUAAAGAGCUCGUAGGCGGUUUGUCGCGUCGGCCGUGAAAACUUGGGGCUUAACCCCAAGCUUGCGGUCGAUACGGGCAGACUUGAGUUCGGCAGGGGAGACUGGAAUUCCUGGUGUAGCGGUGAAAUGCGCAGAUAUCAGGAGGAACACCGGUGGCGAAGGCGGGUCUCUGGGCCGAUACUGACGCUGAGGAGCGAAAGCGUGGGGAGCGAACAGG